CAGAAAAUAGUUUAAAUAAAAAUAUAAACUUUGGAAGUUUAAGAUGCAUAUAACACUUUUCUGA
This 64-nucleotide transfer RNA is filed under the name Tettigades distanti. RNAcentral describes it as "tRNA-Pro". The record is from RNAcentral. Lineage: Eukaryota; Metazoa; Arthropoda; Insecta; Hemiptera; Cicadidae.